This 420-nucleotide long non-coding RNA is filed under the name Hordeum vulgare. RNAcentral's name for it is "long non-coding RNA (HVUL_LNC019939)". Lineage: Eukaryota; Viridiplantae; Streptophyta; Magnoliopsida; Poales; Poaceae. The record is from RNAcentral.
UGCACUUUCUUCUUCUUGCCCCGGUGGAGUUCUACUGGACAGGAGGGUGUCCAUUUCCCUGGUAAUUCAGCUGUUUUCUUCGUCCAAGUACGAGGCAUGUCGCCAUCACUCGAUCGGUCGUUGCCGGCGACGUACGAGACAACUUGGCUUACUCUUCUGCGUUGAGCUAGCGUAUGUGGGCGGUUGAAAGACCAAAUUGGCAAUGCAUCGAGUAACUUCAAGGAAAAAAAUUAGCGCGUUAUAUACAAUAGGAUCGUCUCUAAAAAUAUGCUACUAACGUGCUAUUGACGAGUAAUUGCAUGUUGGUUGCUUCAAUCAAACAAUUCUUCAGCGUGCUAUUUCUUUGAAUGAGUAAUUUACAACUUCUAUAAAGAUGGUUUGAAUCGGCAAUGAUAUAUGAGGUGCAUAUCUUGCGAGAAA